Molecule: ribosomal RNA, 498 nt
Filed under: uncultured bacterium
Lineage: Bacteria
Description: partial 16S ribosomal RNA
Rfam family: Bacterial small subunit ribosomal RNA
Source: RNAcentral
AGCGAACGCUGGCGGCGUGCCUAGCACAUGCAAGUCGAACGGGAAAAGGGAAACCUGAGUAAAGUGGCGUACGGGUGAGUCACGCGUAGGUAAUCUACCCCAGAAUCUGGAAUAACCUGCAGAAAGGCGGGCUAAUACUGGAUAGAGCGAGGGAACUCGUAAGAGAGGUUUUCGGGAAAGGGAGCCCGCAAGGGCCUUCGUUCUGGGAUGAGCCUGCGUCUCAUUAGCUAGUUGGUAAGGUAACGGCUUACCAAGGCGAUGAUGAGUAGCUGGUCUGAGAGGAUGGUCAGCCGCACUGGGACUGUAACACGCCCCAGUGUCCCUCGGGAGGCAGCAGUGGUGAAUCUUGCGCCAUGGGCGAAAGUCUGACGCAGCCACGCCGCGUGAGGAAAGAAGGCCUUCGGGUUGUAAAGCUCUGUCGGAUGGUACGAACAUCUUCAUAGUUAAUAGCUAUGAGGACUGACGGUACCAUCAAAGGAAGCACCGGCUAACUCCGUG